This is a long non-coding RNA of Bombus pascuorum, 946 nucleotides long. RefSeq lists it as uncharacterized. NCBI's taxonomy places the organism in Eukaryota, Metazoa, Arthropoda, Insecta, Hymenoptera, Apidae. The transcript has 2 exons. The record is from RefSeq and is a predicted model, not a curated record.
UUCAGAAAGAUGAAGAAAAUUCGAUACUUGUUAGCCAUGUGAUACGUGUAACAUUCGAGAAAUUCUUUGCAUCGCAUAACAAACAGUUACUUUCACUUUAAGCGAAUUCUAUCACGCAUCGAGCAUCGUGUAAUUCUUCCCGUAUCGUUUUAGUUUAUGCUUCUGACUGUUAUACAUUCUUUCGUACAGUUUCGUAUAAUCAAGACGAGCAACACUCGAUAAAUAAUGAUCAAACAAGAAACAAGCUUCCAACAUUAAUAAUAACAAAGCGUUCCAUUCGAGUGCGCUGUUGUAUCGGAUUAUGAUAUCGCGUAAAUCAACGAGUGGAUACUUUGGUUGAUUUAUAAUAACAACACACGAAUAUCAUGACGAUACGUGAAUUGAGCCAAGUUGUUCAAGAACAACCUACUUAUAGUUACAACCUUCUAUUUUUUUUAUUAUUAUUAUUUAAUUUGUAUUUUACAAUUUAUCCAGCUGGACAUUUGGCAAAUUUUUCUAAUUUUAUUGCUAAAUAAGAUGUGGAUGGCUACGGGAUGUCUUCGAGUUUGACUCUUUUAUUUCUUUAGUGAGGUCAGUGAGGUGUUUUCUUUUUAGUCUUCUUUCUAUGGGAGUUUUGCUCGCUUGGAUGUGUUGUUGUUCUUUCCUUGUAUUUUUUUGCGUACCUGGCGAUUUCUUCUUUGACCGUUGGUAUUUUUAAGUCUUUGUGUAUAUCCUCCUUUGUGUAUCUUCAAUUGUAGCGCCUCUAGUUUAUUUAUGUGGCUGAUUACUGCUGUCCCCCAUAGUGGUAUUCCCUACAUCCAAAUUGGUUUUAUUAUUGCUUUGUAGAUUUUUAGUUUAUUUUCUAUGCUGAGUUUAGAGUUUCGACUAAUUAGCCAGUACAUCUGUCUUCUUUUUAUCCGUAUUUUGUCUAUAAUUGAUUUAGUAUAUUGUUUCCAUGUAAAUUGUG